Molecule: long non-coding RNA, 656 nt
Organism: Astatotilapia calliptera (eastern happy)
Lineage: Eukaryota; Metazoa; Chordata; Actinopteri; Cichliformes; Cichlidae
Source: Ensembl
GCCCCUACCUGGCCCCCCCAACAAAAAUUUUCUAGACACGCCACUGCGCCUAUCAGUGCCCACACAGCGGAAAUAUGUGCGCAACACGUAGCUGUGCUGUCUGGGGAAUCAUCAACAAGCGGUAAACUUUCAGAGGAAGUGAACUACUGACGGUUACGCAGAGAAGAAAACAGCGAUGUCUGAGUCAGACGAGGAGCGUGGUACUUUCCGCACCAGCAAGAACACUGAGGGGGCAAAUACGACUCCUAAUAGCCCCAAGGGGGUUAUGGUGACACUACCUUGCUUCUCUUGGUGUCCCAAAAUAUGCAGCCCAAACGGUCACGCCAUCUUCUGGAUUUGUUUUUUUGUUUUUUUUGGUUGUGCAAUAGUUGGUGGUAUUUGGUUAGGGGUAUGGUUAUGUAAAAGUAAAGGUCAGGUUGCCCCGUCGGACGACGAGGACCCUAAUUGCCGUUUCUCAAAAGCUGCAGUGGCCGCAGACUCCGAGAAUUGUUCGGAGAUUGGAAAUGAUGUGUCAGUUGUGAACGAAAUGGCUCUUAGAGCCGGGUCUUUGACGUGAACGACGCAAGCCGGCUCCUUAUCGCGAGCCUCCCAGUCCUACUGCCAGUUUCUGGAAGACACCUUCUUCAAGCAGUGGUACAGGAAGAAGUCUGCAUCCU